This is a long non-coding RNA of Triticum aestivum (bread wheat), 1591 nucleotides long. RefSeq lists it as uncharacterized. The record is from RefSeq and is a predicted model, not a curated record. Lineage: Eukaryota; Viridiplantae; Streptophyta; Magnoliopsida; Poales; Poaceae. The transcript has 2 exons.
ACUCCAAUAUGUCACUAGUAGAAAUCUGUGAACAACAAAAUAGUACUAGAGUUCCUUGGAAAGUGGAAACCAAAACCAAAAGCAACGCACAGCUUUGACUUGUUCUUUUGUCCACGUGAACGCAAGGAAACAAAUCUGCAAUCAAUUCGUUCUCGCCUUUUUUUUGACCGGAUCAAAAACUCCAAUACUUAUCCCUUUUGGAAAAGGAAACAACCCUGCUAUAAUCACGUCCCAAAGGCUAUCAGAUUUGCACCUUUUUUGCGGUCAACCUUCCUGUUGAAAACACCGCGAAUUUACUUCAUGCCUUCCUAUGGAAACUUAUCCCAAUAAAUAUUCUUGACCGAAUCUAGCUUUCCAAAACAUCAGCAAAUUUUUUUUGGCGCUGGUCUCUUUCCAAAGGUAAGGUCGAACCCUUUAUAUACUCCUCCGUUUUCUCUUUCCUUCUCUCUUUUUACUUUCCUUCUUUUUUCUUCUCUCCCGGACGUAUCUCACUUUCUAAAACAACAAAAAUACUACUCUGCAGCAAACCUUCCAAAUAAAGGACACACUGAUCUCGCGUACAGAUUUUUGUUGAUGCAAACGGUGGGUGGAGCGAUUCUGAUUCCUUUCCCAAACUCUCUCUCUCUUCUUGCCUUUUCUUUCUCUCUUUCCAAAAAAACAAAACCGACUAGCACUUUCCAAACCAAAACUGCCAAACAAUCGGAGCAACUUUAUUGACAGAAUCUUCCAACCAAAUCAAUUUGUUUUGCCUUCCAAACAAAGUACUCCAAUUGAUUACUUGCCUUAGGUAAGGGCAACUCGAGAUAUUGGCCCCUGCUCGGGCGACUCGGGGGUCCAAACCCUAGCGCCGCCACCUUCUUUUCCCCUCCCUUCCCCCUCGCCGCCGCCUGAGGCCAAGCCCGGGGCGCCGCCGAGGAAGGUGGCGGCGGGGCCCUGGCUGCCCUGCCUCUUCUGCGGGGGGCCGAGGUCCUCGGGGCGGCGGCCCUGUCGGAGAGACGUCACCGGCCCUGCGACAGGCGGUGGCAGGGGCGUGGGGCGGCGAACCUGGCCGUGUGGACGGCAGAUGAACUGGAGGACGGGUGGCAUGGUGCAGCGGCAGAUCGGCAGCGCCAGAUCUGGCCGCCCCUGCCUCCCCUGUUUGGCGAGCUCCUCCCCGGCCGGAUCCGGCCUGCUCCUCUGCGGGCCGCCAGGUCUCGCGCCGUUGGGGUAAGGGUGGCGGGGAUUCGAAGACCGGGAGAAAUCCUAGGCCGGCCUCGCCGGUCUUGGCAGCGGCGAUGCUCGAGGGCGCCGUUCCCCUCCUUGGAGGCGCCGUUCAGGUAACAGCAGACGUGCAAGUUGGCAGAACAUGGAUCUCUUUCCUUGUGUGCCUAGGAGAAGAAUUCUCUUUUUUACUUUUGCUGAUCCACACGUCCUCUUCUAUUCUAUAUCUAUACCUACUAUUAAAGGGGAUAGAUAUUUUUGGUUUGGUUUUACUUUAUUUCAUCCUGUUAUAAGACUUUUGUCCCUUUAAGGAAAAUCAAAAAUCAAACGUAGAAAUCAAGGAAUCGGGACGUACACUUAAAACUAAACCGGGCUGGUCGGCCGGCCCAUA